This 354-nucleotide unclassified non-coding RNA is filed under the name soil metagenome. Its description in RNAcentral is "partial contains 5.8S ribosomal RNA, internal transcribed spacer 2, and large subunit ribosomal RNA". The stretch from base 1 to 120 matches the Rfam family "5.8S ribosomal RNA", at positions 35 to 154 of the family's 154-position model. The record is from RNAcentral.
GAUGAAGAACGUAGCGAAAUGCGAUAAGUAGUGUGAAUUGCAGAAUUCAGUGAAUCAUCGAAUCUUUGAACGCACAUUGCGCCUCCUGGUAUUCCGGGAGGCAUGCCUGUUCGAGCGUCAUUAAAAUCACUCAAGCUUAGGUUUACCUAUUGCUUGGUCUUGGAGAUGGAAGCCAAUUUAUUGGAAUCCUCUUCGAAAUUCAAUGGCGAAGACCCUUGCUCUCCCAAGUGUAGUAAUAACUUAUGUCACUGAAGGAAGCGAGAAAUCUUCUGCCGUAACCCCCAUAUUUUCUAUGAUUGACCUCGGAUCAGGUAGGGAUGCCCGCUGAACUUAAGCAUAUCAAUAAGCGGAGGA